Molecule: ribosomal RNA, 274 nt
Filed under: uncultured bacterium
Lineage: Bacteria
Description: partial 16S ribosomal RNA
Rfam family: Bacterial small subunit ribosomal RNA
Source: RNAcentral
AUACGGAGGGUGCAAGCGUUAUUCGGAAUCACUGGGCGUAAAGGACGCGUAGGUGGGUUGGCUAGUCAGAUGUGAAAUCCUACAGCUUAACUGUAGAACUGCAUUUGAAACUGCUAACCUAGAGUAUGGGAGGGGGAGAUGGAAUUAGUGGUGUAGGGGUAAAAUCCGUAGAUAUCACUAGGAAUACCGAAAGCGAAGGCGAUCUCCUGGAACAUAACUGACGCUAAGGCGUGAAAGCGUGGGGAGCAAACAGGAUUAGAAACCCCAGUAGUCC